The sequence is a transfer RNA, 73 nucleotides long. It matches the Rfam family "tRNA". Rfam says of the family: Transfer RNA (tRNA) molecules are approximately 80 nucleotides in length. The record is from Rfam.
GAGUCGCUAGCUCAGUUGGUAGAGCAACGGCCUUUUAAGCCGUGGGUCGUGGGUCCGAGCCCCACGCGACUCA